This 428-nucleotide ribosomal RNA is filed under the name bacterium. RNAcentral describes it as "partial 16S ribosomal RNA". It matches the Rfam family "Bacterial small subunit ribosomal RNA", at positions 355 to 776 of the family's 1533-position model. The record is from RNAcentral.
UGGGGAAUCUUCCGCAAUGGACGAAAGUCUGACGGAGCAACGCCGCGUGAGUGAAGACGGCCUUCGGGUUGUAAAGCUCUGUGAUUCGGGACGAAAGGCCAAAUGUGAAUAAUAUAUGGAAAUGACGGUACCGAAAAAGCAAGCCACGGCUAACUACGUGCCAGCAGCCGCGGUAAUACGUAGGUGGCAAGCGUUGUCCGGUAUUAUUGGGCGUAAAGCGCGCGCAGGCGGUCACUUAAGUCCAUCUUAGAAGUGCGGGGCUUAACCCCGUGAUGGGAUGGAAACUGGGAGACUGGAGUAUCGGAGAGGAAAGUGGAAUUCCUAGUGUAGCGGUGAAAUGCGUAGAUAUUAGGAAGAACACCGGUGGCGAAGGCGACUUUCUGGACGAAAACUGACGCUGAGGCGCGAAAGCGUGGGGAGCAAACAGG